AAUGGGGGGGGCUACACAUGCAAGUCGAGCGGAAACGAUCCUAGCUUGCUAGGAGGCGUCGAGCGGCGGACGGGUGAGUAAUGCAUAGGAAUCUGCCCGGUAGUGGGGGAUAACUUGAGGAAACUCAAGCUAAUACCGCAUACGCCCCAAGGGGGAAAGCAGGGGAUCUUCGGACCUUGCGCUAUCGGAUGAGCCUAUGUCGGAUUAGCUAGUUGGUGAGGUAAUGGCUCACCAAGGCCGCGAUCCGUAGCUGGUCUGAGAGGAUGAUCAGCCACAUCGGGACUGAGACACGGCCCGAACUCCUACGGGAGGCAGCAGUGGGGAAUAUUGGACAAUGGGCGAAAGCCUGAUCCAGCCAUGCCGCGUGUGUGAAGAAGGCCCUCGGGUUGUAAAGCACUUUCAGCGAGGAAGAACGCCUGUGGGUUAAUACCCCGCAGGAAGGACAUCACUCGCAGAAGAAGCACCGGCUAACUCCGUGCCAGCAGCCGCGGUAAUACGGAGGGUGCAAGCGUUAAUCGGAAUUACUGGGCGUAAAGCGCGCGUAGGCGGCUUGAUAAGCCGGUUGUGAAAGCCCCGGGCUCAACCUGGGAACGGCAUCCGGAACUGUCAGGCUAGAGUGCAGGAGAGGAAGGUAGAAUUCCCGGUGUAGCGGUGAAAUGCGUAGAGAUCGGGAGGAAUACCAGUGGCGAAGGCGGCCUUCUGGACUGACACUGACGCUGAGGUGCGAAAGCGUGGGUAGCAAACAGGAUUAGAUACCCUGGUAGUCCACGCCGUAAACGAUGUCGACUAGCCGUUGGGGUCCUCGAGACCUUUGUGGCGCAGUUAACGCGAUAAGUCGACCGCCUGGGGAGUACGGCCGCAAGGUUAAAACUCAAAUGAAUUGACGGGGGCCCGCACAAGCGGUGGAGCAUGUGGUUUAAUUCGAUGCAACGCGAAGAACCUUACCUACUCUUGACAUCGAGCGAACUUUCCAGAGAUGGAUUGGUGCCUUCGGGAACGCUCAGACAGGUGCUGCAUGGCCGUCGUCAGCUCGUGUUGUGAAAUGUUGGGUUAAGUCCCGUAACGAGCGCAACCCUUGUCCCUAUUUGCCAGCGAUUCGGUCGGGAACUCUAGGGAGACU
RNAcentral lists this ribosomal RNA (1120 nucleotides) under Halomonas halophila. Its description in RNAcentral is "bacterial SSU rRNA". It matches the Rfam family "Bacterial small subunit ribosomal RNA", at positions 38 to 1150 of the family's 1533-position model. The record is from RNAcentral. Lineage: Bacteria; Pseudomonadati; Pseudomonadota; Gammaproteobacteria; Oceanospirillales; Halomonadaceae.